RNAcentral lists this transfer RNA (59 nucleotides) under Erinaceus europaeus (western European hedgehog). It matches the Rfam family "tRNA", at positions 7 to 64 of the family's 71-position model. From Rfam's summary of the family: Transfer RNA (tRNA) molecules are approximately 80 nucleotides in length. Their secondary structure includes four short double-helical elements and three loops (D, anti-codon, and T loops). Further hydrogen bonds mediate the characteristic L-shaped molecular structure. tRNAs have two regions of fundamental functional importance: the anti-codon, which is responsible for specific mRNA codon recognition, and the 3' end, to which the tRNAs corresponding amino acid is attached (by aminoacyl-tRNA synthetases). tRNAs cope with the degeneracy of the genetic code in two manners: having more than one tRNA (with a specific anti-codon) for a particular amino acid; and 'wobble' base-pairing, i.e. permitting non-standard base-pairing at the 3rd anti-codon position. The record is from Rfam by way of RNAcentral. Lineage: Eukaryota; Metazoa; Chordata; Mammalia; Eulipotyphla; Erinaceidae.
GUGGCUUAGCAGCAGAGUACUUGCCUUGCAUGUAAGAGACUUUGGGUACAAUCCCCAAC